This 254-nucleotide ribosomal RNA is filed under the name uncultured bacterium. Its description in RNAcentral is "partial 16S ribosomal RNA". It matches the Rfam family "Bacterial small subunit ribosomal RNA", at positions 524 to 776 of the family's 1533-position model. The record is from RNAcentral.
UACGUAGGGGGCGAGCGUUGUCCGGAUUUAUUGGGCGUAAAGAGCGUGUAGGCGGCCAGGUAGGUCUGCUGUGAAAACUCGAGGCUCAACCUCGAGACGUCGAUGGAAACCGUCUGGCUAGAGUCCGGAAGGGGAGAGUGGAAUUCCUGGUGUAGCGGUGAAAUGCGCAGAUAUCAGGAAGAACACCCGUGGCGAAGGCGGCUCUCUGGGACGGUACUGACGCUGAGACGCGAAAGCGUGGGGGAGCGAACAGG